UACAUAGGGGGCUAGCGUUGUCCGGAAUCAUUGGGCGUAAAGAGCGUGUAGGCGGUCCGGUAAGUCCGCUGUGAAAGUCGGGGGCUCAACCCUCGAAUGCCGGUGGAUACUGUCGGGCUAGAGUGCGGAAGAGGCGAGUGGAAUUCCUGGUGUAGCGGUGAAAUGCGCAGAUAUCAGGAGGAACACCGACGGCGAAGGCAGCUUACUGGGCCGAUACUGACGCUGAGGAGCGAAAGCGUGGGGAGCGAACAGG
This 253-nucleotide ribosomal RNA is filed under the name uncultured bacterium. RNAcentral describes it as "partial 16S ribosomal RNA". It matches the Rfam family "Bacterial small subunit ribosomal RNA", at positions 524 to 776 of the family's 1533-position model. The record is from RNAcentral.